GCGUGCUAAUCUGCGAUAAGCGCCGGUAAGGUGAUAUGAACCGUUAUAACCGGCGAUACCCGAAUGGGGAAACCCAGUGUGACUCGUCACACUAUCAUUAACUGAAUCCAUAGGUUAAUGAGGCGAACCGGGGGAACUGAAACAUCUAAGUACCCCGAGGAAAAGAAAUCAACCGAGAUUCCCCCAGUAGCGGCGAGCGAACGGGGAGGAGCCCAGAGCCUGAAUCAGCAUGUGUGUUAGUGGAAGCGUCUGGAAAGGCGCGCGAUACAGGGUGACAGCCCCGUACACAAAAGCGCAUGUGCUGUGAGCUCGAUGAGUAGGGCGGGACACGUGGUAUCCUGUCUGAAUAUGGGGGGACCAUCCUCCAAGGCUAAAUACUCCUGACUGACCGAUAGUGAACCAGUACCGUGAGGGAAAGGCGAAAAGAACCCCGGCGAGGGGAGUGAAAAAGAACCUGAAACCGUGUACGUACAAGCAGUGGGAGCCCCACCACCAAAGCAUUUGCUGUACCGCGUUGACGGAGCGAAGCGACGUCAAACCGAUAAAACAGCAGUGUAAAGUGAGCCGCAGGGCGCUUUGCGCGACAGCGCAAAGGCAGGCGGUUUCGCGUAGCGAAAGCGAAUGCUUUGGGGUGGGGUGACUGCGUACCUUUUGUAUAAUGGGUCAGCGACUUAUAUUCUGUAGCAAGGUUAACCGAAUAGGGGAGCCGGAGGGAAACCGAGUCUUAAUUGGGCGUUAAGUUGCAGGGUAUAGACCCGAAACCCGGUGAUCUAGCCAUGGGCAGGUUGAAGGUUGGGUAACACUAACUGGAGGACCGAACCGACUAAUGUUGAAAAAUUAGCGGAUGACCUGUGGCUGGGGGUGAAAGGCCAAUCAAACCGGGAGAUAGCUGGUUCUCCCCGAAAGCUAUUUAGGUAGCGCCUCGUGAAUUCAUCUCCGGGGGUAGAGCACUGUUUCGGCUAGGGGGCCAUCCCGGCUUACCAACCCGAUGCAAACUGCGAAUACCGGAGAAUGUUAUCACGGGAGACACACGGCGGGUGCUAACGUCCGUCGUGAAGAGGGAAACAACCCAGACCGCCAGCUAAGGUCCCAAAGUCAUGGUUAAGUGGGAAACGAUGUGGGAAGGCCCAGACAGCCAGGAUGUUGGCUUAGAAGCAGCCAUCAUUUAAAGAAAGCGUAAUAGCUCACUGGUCGAGUCGGCCUGCGCGGAAGAUGUAACGGGGCUAAACCAUGCACCGAAGCUGCGGCAGCGACACUGUGUGUUGUUGGGUAGGGGAGCGUUCUGUAAGCCUGUGAAGGUGUGUCGUGAGGCAUGCUGGAGGUAUCAGAAGUGCGAAUGCUGACAUAAGUAACGAUAAAGCGGGUGAAAAGCCCGCUCGCCGGAAGACCAAGGGUUCCUGUCCAACGUUAAUCGGGGCAGGGUGAGUCGACCCCUAAGGCGAGGCCGAAAGGCGUAGUCGAUGGGAAACGGGUUAAUAUUCCCGUACUUGGUGUUACUGCGAAGGGGGGACGGAGAAGGCUAUGUUGGCCGGG
This 1533-nucleotide ribosomal RNA is filed under the name Salmonella enterica. RNAcentral describes it as "partial 23S ribosomal RNA". It matches the Rfam family "Bacterial large subunit ribosomal RNA", at positions 56 to 1495 of the family's 2925-position model. RNAcentral also lists the same sequence under 1 other name. The record is from RNAcentral. Lineage: Bacteria; Pseudomonadati; Pseudomonadota; Gammaproteobacteria; Enterobacterales; Enterobacteriaceae.